AGGUUAAGCGACUAAGCGUACACGGUGGAUGCCCUGGCAGUCAGAGGCGAUGAAGGACGUGCUAAUCUGCGAUAAGCGCCGGUAAGGUGAUAUGAACCGUUAUAACCGGCGAUACCCGAAUGGGGAAACCCAGUGUGAUUCGUCACACUAUCAUUAACUGAAUCCAUAGGUUAAUGAGGCGAACCGGGGGAACUGAAACAUCUAAGUACCCCGAGGAAAAGAAAUCAACCGAGAUUCCCCCAGUAGCGGCGAGCGAACGGGGAGGAGCCCAGAGCCUGAAUCAGCAUGUGUGUUAGUGGAAGCGUCUGGAAAGGCGCGCGAUACAGGGUGACAGCCCCGUACACAAAAGCGCAUGUGCUGUGAGCUCGAUGAGUAGGGCGGGACACGUGGUAUCCUGUCUGAAUAUGGGGGGACCAUCCUCCAAGGCUAAAUACUCCUGACUGACCGAUAGUGAACCAGUACCGUGAGGGAAAGGCGAAAAGAACCCCGGCGAGGGGAGUGAAAAAGAACCUGAAACCGUGUACGUACAAGCAGUGGGAGCACAGGUUUACCUGUGUGACUGCGUACCUUUUGUAUAAUGGGUCAGCGACUUAUAUUCUGUAGCAAGGUUAACCGUAUAGGGGAGCCGGAGGGAAACCGAGUCUUAACCGGGCGUUAAGUUGCAGGGUAUAGACCCGAAACCCGGUGAUCUAGCCAUGGGCAGGUUGAAGGUUGGGUAACACUAACUGGAGGACCGAACCGACUAAUGUUGAAAAAUUAGCGGAUGACCUGUGGCUGGGGGUGAAAGGCCAAUCAAACCGGGAGAUAGCUGGUUCUCCCCGAAAGCUAUUUAGGUAGCGCCUCGUGAAUUCAUCUCCGGGGGUAGAGCACUGUUUCGGCUAGGGGGCCAUCCCGGCUUACCAACCCGAUGCAAACUGCGAAUACCGGAGAAUGUUAUCACGGGAGACACACGGCGGGUGCUAACGUCCGUCGUGAAGAGGGAAACAACCCAGACCGCCAGCUAAGGUCCCAAAGUCAUGGUUAAGUGGGAAACGAUGUGGGAAGGCCCAGACAGCCAGGAUGUUGGCUUAGAAGCAGCCAUCAUUUAAAGAAAGCGUAAUAGCUCACUGGUCGAGUCGGCCUGCGCGGAAGAUGUAACGGGGCUAAACCAUGCACCGAAGCUGCGGCAGCGAACGUAUCACCCAAGACAACUUUACGGAGUUGACGAUUGACGGAGCGAAGCGACGUCAAAGCGUUCAUUAAAGUCGAGUUGGCUUAGGGAUACGUUCGUUGGGUAGGGGAGCGUUCUGUAAGCCUGUGAAGGUGUGUCGUGAGGCAUGCUGGAGGUAUCAGAAGUGCGAAUGCUGACAUAAGUAACGAUAAAGCGGGUGAAAAGCCCGCUCGCCGGAAGACCAAGGGUUCCUGUCCAACGUUAAUCGGGGCAGGGUGAGUCGACCCCUAAGGCGAGGCCGAAAGGCGUAGUCGAUGGGAAACGGGUUAAUAUUCCCGUACUUGGUGUUACUGCGAAGGGGGGACGGAGAAGGCUAUGUUGGCCGGGCGACGGUUGUCCCGGUUUAAGCGUGUAGGUGUGUGUUCCAGGUAAAUCCGGUUCACUUUAACACUGAGGCGUGACGACGAGGCACUACGGUGCUGAAGCAACAAAUGCCCUGCUUCCAGGAAAAGCCUCUAAGCAUCAGGUAACAUCAAAUCGUACCCCAAACCGACACAGGUGGUCAGGUAGAGAAUACCAAGGCGCUUGAGAGAACUCGGGUGAAGGAACUAGGCAAAAUGGUGCCGUAACUUCGGGAGAAGGCACGCUGACACGUAGGUGAAGUGAUUUACUCAUGGAGCUGAAGUCAGUCGAAGAUACCAGCUGGCUGCAACUGUUUAUUAAAAACACAGCACUGUGCAAACACGAAAGUGGACGUAUACGGUGUGACGCCUGCCCGGUGCCGGAAGGUUAAUUGAUGGGGUCAGCGCAAGCGAAGCUCCUGAUCGAAGCCCCGGUAAACGGCGGCCGUAACUAUAACGGUCCUAAGGUAGCGAAAUUCCUUGUCGGGUAAGUUCCGACCUGCACGAAUGGCGUAAUGAUGGCCAGGCUGUCUCCACCCGAGACUCAGUGAAAUUGAACUCGCUGUGAAGAUGCAGUGUACCCGCGGCAAGACGGAAAGACCCCGUGAACCUUUACUAUAGCUUGACACUGAACAUUGAGCCUUGAUGUGUAGGAUAGGUGGGAGGCUUUGAAGUGUGGACGCCAGUCUGCAUGGAGCCGACCUUGAAAUACCACCCUUUAAUGUUUGAUGUUCUAACGUGGACCCGUAAUCCGGGUUGCGGACAGUGUCUGGUGGGUAGUUUGACUGGGGCGGUCUCCUCCUAAAGAGUAACGGAGGAGCACGAAGGUUGGCUAAUCCUGGUCGGACAUCAGGAGGUUAGUGCAAUGGCAUAAGCCAGCUUGACUGCGAGCGUGACGGCGCGAGCAGGUGCGAAAGCAGGUCAUAGUGAUCCGGUGGUUCUGAAUGGAAGGGCCAUCGCUCAACGGAUAAAAGGUACUCCGGGGAUAACAGGCUGAUACCGCCCAAGAGUUCAUAUCGACGGCGGUGUUUGGCACCUCGAUGUCGGCUCAUCACAUCCUGGGGCUGAAGUAGGUCCCAAGGGUAUGGCUGUUCGCCAUUUAAAGUGGUACGCGAGCUGGGUUUAGAACGUCGUGAGACAGUUCGGUCCCUAUCUGCCGUGGGCGCUGGAGAACUGAGGGGGGCUGCUCCUAGUACGAGAGGACCGGAGUGGACGCAUCACUGGUGUUCGGGUUGUCAUGCCAAUGGCACUGCCCGGUAGCUAAAUGCGGAAGAGAUAAGUGCUGAAAGCAUCUAAGCACGAAACUUGCCCCGAGAUGAGUUCUCCCUGAGACUUAGAGUCUCCUGAAGGAACGUUGAAGACGACGACGUUGAUAGGCCGGGUGUGUAAGCGCAGCGAUGCGUUGAGCUAACCGGUACUAAUGAACCGUGAGGCUUAACCUUACAACGCCGA
This 3003-nucleotide ribosomal RNA is filed under the name Salmonella enterica subsp. enterica serovar Typhimurium str. U288. RNAcentral describes it as "bacterial LSU rRNA". It matches the Rfam family "Bacterial large subunit ribosomal RNA". The record is from RNAcentral. Lineage: Bacteria; Pseudomonadati; Pseudomonadota; Gammaproteobacteria; Enterobacterales; Enterobacteriaceae.